AUGGCUUACGAUUUCUCACUGCAGCUGCCCGAUUUCCAUCCAGUUCACUGCAAAGCGAAGGAGUUUAUUUCAGAAAGGACCCAGGCAAAAGAGGCGUCUGGAGAUGUUUUGCUGGAUGGAGUUACAGAAAAACUGGGCUCAGGGUAUCAUUCCAGGAAAUGACCUUCUGAGCUCCGAGGCACGAGAUAUUUACAAAUAGCCCAGAACACUACAGAGGCGAGGCGGCCAGGAGGACGCAGGGGGUGUGACGGGCCGCGGAGGAUAGAUGUUCCAGAGGCUUCUGUGGGAAGGCUCUCGGGAAUCCGCGAGUGCCCUUGAGGGGCUGUCCGGGAGCCGGGGGCCGAUCGCGGCAGGCAGCGACUGUUACCGCACCG
Molecule: long non-coding RNA, 374 nt
Filed under: Fukomys damarensis (Damara mole-rat)
Lineage: Eukaryota; Metazoa; Chordata; Mammalia; Rodentia; Bathyergidae
Description: lncRNA (ENSFDAG00000023717.1)
Source: RNAcentral